RNAcentral lists this ribosomal RNA (388 nucleotides) under uncultured bacterium. RNAcentral describes it as "bacterial SSU rRNA". It matches the Rfam family "Bacterial small subunit ribosomal RNA", at positions 28 to 417 of the family's 1533-position model. The record is from RNAcentral.
GACGAACGCUGGCGGCGUGCUUAACACAUGCAGGUCGAGCGGUAAGGCCCUUUCGGGGGUACACGAGCGGCGAACGGGUGAGUAACACGUGGGUGACCUGCCCUCAGCUCUGGGAUAAGCCUGGGAAACCGGGUCUAAUACUGGAUAUGACUCCAUGACGCAUGUUGUGGGGUGGAAAGCCUUGUGCGGCUGAGGAUGGGCCCGCGGCCUAUCAGCUUGUUGGUGGGGUGANGGCCUACCAAGGCGACGACGGGUAGCCGGCCUGAGAGGGCGACCGGCCACACUGGGACUGAGACACGGCCCAGACUCCUACGGGAGGCAGCAGUGGGGAAUCUUGCGCAAUGGGCGAAAGCCUGACGCAGCGACGCCGCGUGAGGGAUGACGGCCU